CACGUAGGCUGUUUGGUAAGUCAGGGGUGAAAUCCCGCGGCUCAACCGCGGAAUUGCCCUUGAUACUGCUGGACUCGAGUCCGGGAGAGGGUGGCGGAAUUCCAGGUGUAGGAGUGAAAUCCGUAGAUAUCUGGAGGAACACCAGUGGCGAAGGCGGCUCACUGGGCCAUUACUGACGCUGAGGCACGAAAGCGUGGGGAGCAAACA
Molecule: ribosomal RNA, 207 nt
Filed under: uncultured bacterium
Lineage: Bacteria
Description: partial 16S ribosomal RNA
Rfam family: Bacterial small subunit ribosomal RNA
Source: RNAcentral